AACUUCGAAGGAAUGGCCACACAAGAAUAUUGUUGACUAAAAAUAGCCAUAAAUAGAUAGCUAUCUUUAAUCAGACAGAAGUCAUGAUAAAACCAGGAUAACAAAACAGAACAGAUAUGGUCAAGAGCUGUGACAAAAAA
Populus euphratica (Euphrates poplar) is the source of this 140-nucleotide long non-coding RNA. RefSeq lists it as uncharacterized. The transcript has 2 exons. NCBI's taxonomy places the organism in Eukaryota, Viridiplantae, Streptophyta, Magnoliopsida, Malpighiales, Salicaceae. The record is from RefSeq and is a predicted model, not a curated record.